Long non-coding RNA from Athalia rosae (coleseed sawfly), 1075 nucleotides. RefSeq lists it as uncharacterized. The record is from RefSeq and is a predicted model, not a curated record. The transcript is spliced from 2 exons. Lineage: Eukaryota; Metazoa; Arthropoda; Insecta; Hymenoptera; Athaliidae.
CUGACAGCGGUAUCGUCAAGUUCUCUUGAUUUUCGUUUCGUUCAGCUCUGUCAACUCGUAGCCCACAUAAGCUCCGAAGUCUACGAGCCACCCCGUGGUACCCGGGGCUCUUUCGGUGGGCACGGGACGACGAGGAUCAUCACUGAGGAAGAGGAGAAGAAGAAAAUACGAGGAGUAGGAGGAAGAUAAAAUACAGGGAUUCCCCCACCACUUGAUGAUGAGUUUACGCCGCGACGACAGGCGCGACACGUCGCGACUAAUGGAAAAUACGUACAUAUUUAUACGUACGUACCGUAUAAAUGAGUCACGUAAGUGGUGGUUGGUCGAUUGCACGCGGGGCGUACCGGAGCAAACACAUUUUUCUUCCAACGGGGAACCGAACAUUUUCUCUCUACCGCGAGUAGAAAUUUUCACGCACCAAAGUCCGAAUCUGGUAAUUGGAAGUGAUCCACCGCCGCUAGUCGAAGUCGAUCGUAUUUCGCGAUGUGAGGAAAAAUGUGAGGGGAGAGAAAAAAAAAACAAACGUAAAAGGAAACGCGAAAGCCGCAUCUGAUAAAGGAAACCGCACGAUAUAGAUGUAGGUACACGUGAGUACGUAAUUGUGUAAAAUCUCGAAAACCAGGAUACCGUGGUGAGUGUGGAAAAAAAAAAAAUAAUUAUCGUACACAUCCUUUUGUCAUCGUGGAGCUGGCUGUGAAUUGAUAGUAAUGAAAAUAAUAAACCUUGAUGGUAUUCUUGAUAUUAUAACUGACAAUAAUAUGCAUAGUUUUCACAAUGGUAGACUCGACAAUGGGACACCCUAAUUUGUUAAAGUAUAAAAUGUUGAAUAGAAUAUGAAACGAGGUUUUGAAAAAAAUUUGUCUGUCUCUUCUGUAUAGAAUUUUGAGCACCUCCGCAGCGAUGGUUGUGGGAGAAAAAAAAUAGAAGAAUGGCAGCGGAUCAUCCCGGAGAACAGACAGUGGGACAGUCAUAAGAAUUAUCUACGUUUAUGCUGAUCGUUCGAUAGGACGUAAGGGCCAUUCGUUGCAGUAUAGUUUGUAUGAUAAAAAAAAAAAUAAAUAAAUAAAUAACAAUA